This 402-nucleotide ribosomal RNA is filed under the name uncultured prokaryote. RNAcentral describes it as "bacterial SSU rRNA". It matches the Rfam family "Bacterial small subunit ribosomal RNA", at positions 355 to 774 of the family's 1533-position model. The record is from RNAcentral.
UGGGGAAUCUUGGACAAUGGGGGCAACCCUGAUCCAGCCAUGCCGCGUGAUCGAUGAAGGCCUUAGGGUUGUAAAGAUCUUUCAGCUGGGAAGAUAAUGACGGUACCAGCAGAAGAAGCCCCGGCUAACUCCGUGCCAGCAGCCGCGGUAAUACGGAGGGGGCUAGCGUUGUUCGGAAUUACUGGGCGUAAAGCGCACGUAGGCGGAUAGUUAAGUCGGGGGUGAAAUCCCGGGGCUCAACCCCGGAACUGCCUUCGAUACUGGCUGUCUAGAGAUCGAGAGAGGUGAGUGGAAUUCCGAGUGUAGAGGUGAAAUUCGUAGAUAUUCGGAGGAACACCAGUGGCGAAGGCGGCUCACUGGCUCGAUACUGACGCUGAGGUGCGAAAGCGUGGGGAGCAAACA